UGCCAGCAGCCGCGGUAAUACGGAGGGUGCAAGCAUUAAUCGGAUUUAUUGGGCGUAAAGUGCGUGCAGGCGGGAAAAUAAGUCUGAUGUGAAAGCCCGGGGCUCAACCCCGGAAGUGCAUUGGAAACUGGCGAACUUGAGUACGGGAGAGGAAAGUGGAAUUCCGAGUGUAGGGGUGAAAUCCGUAGAUAUUCGGAGGAACACCAGUGGCGAAGGCGGCUUUCUGGACCGAUACUGACGCUGAGACGCGAAAGCGUGGGGAGCAAACAGGAUUAGAUA
RNAcentral lists this ribosomal RNA (279 nucleotides) under uncultured bacterium. RNAcentral's name for it is "partial 16S ribosomal RNA". It matches the Rfam family "Bacterial small subunit ribosomal RNA", at positions 506 to 784 of the family's 1533-position model. The record is from RNAcentral.